Molecule: ribosomal RNA, 253 nt
Filed under: uncultured bacterium
Lineage: Bacteria
Description: partial 16S ribosomal RNA
Rfam family: Bacterial small subunit ribosomal RNA
Source: RNAcentral
UACGUAGGGUGCGAGCGUUAAUCGGAAUUACUGGGCGUAAAGGGCUCGUAGGCGGCCAACUAAGUCAGACGUGAAAUCCCCAGGCUUAACCUGGGAACUGCGUCUGAUACUGGAUGGCUUGAAUUCGGGAGAGGGAUGCAGAAUUCCAGGUGUAGCGGUGAAAUGCGUAGAUAUCGAUAGGAACUCCGGUGGCGAAGGCGGCACACUGGACCACCACUGACGCUGAUGCGCGAAAGCCAGGGGAGCAAACGGG